UACGUAGGUGGCAAGCGUUGUCCGGAUUUACUGGGCGUAAAGGGCGCGUAGGCGGCGUGUCAAGUCGAUUGUGAAAUCUCCGGGCUUAACUCGGAACGGCCAAUCGAUACUGACGUGCUAGAGUGCAGAAAGGGCAAUCGGAAUUCUUGGUGUAGCGGUGAAAUGCGUAGAUAUCAAGAGGAACACCUGAGGCGAAGGCGGGUUGCUAGGCUGACACUGACGCUGAGUGCGCGAAAGCCAGGGGAGCAAACGGG
This 254-nucleotide ribosomal RNA is filed under the name uncultured bacterium. Its description in RNAcentral is "partial 16S ribosomal RNA". It matches the Rfam family "Bacterial small subunit ribosomal RNA", at positions 524 to 776 of the family's 1533-position model. The record is from RNAcentral.